RNAcentral lists this transfer-messenger RNA (362 nucleotides) under Clostridia bacterium. It matches the Rfam family "transfer-messenger RNA". Rfam says of the family: Bacterial tmRNA, also known as 10Sa RNA or SsrA, is named for its dual tRNA and mRNA-like properties. Its role is to liberate the mRNA from a stalled ribosome. To accomplish this part of the tmRNA is used as a reading frame that ends in a translation stop signal. Lineage: Bacteria; Bacillati; Bacillota; Clostridia. RNAcentral also lists the same sequence under 1 other name. The record is from RNAcentral.
GGGCCUGUCUCGGCUUCGACGGGGAAGGGAGGGCAGUGUAAGCAUACCGGAGGCUCGUCUCCGCAAAUACGGAAAUUAAAAUUAAACGCAGAAAAUAAAACCGAGAGCUACAACGGCUCUCUUGCCUUCGCAGCUUAAUUUAGCAAGGCUGUCGGCUGAAGUUUCCACGGCUUCAUUACCGGCAUCGGACUAGUGGAACAGGGCGCGUCGCUAUGCCCAAGGCAACGCGCAAGACUUUUGGGCUUGCCAAAAGGCGAGUUUGCCGCUUAACUCGCCCAAGGGAGAUUGAUAAUCGGCUAAGUAUGUAGAAAACGCUGUGCAAAGUUUCUCGGACAGGGGUUCGAUUCCCCUCAGGUCCACCA